This 253-nucleotide ribosomal RNA is filed under the name uncultured bacterium. RNAcentral's name for it is "partial 16S ribosomal RNA". It matches the Rfam family "Bacterial small subunit ribosomal RNA", at positions 524 to 776 of the family's 1533-position model. The record is from RNAcentral.
UACGUAGGGUGCAAGCGUUAAUCGGAAUUACUGGGCGUAAAGCGUGCGCAGGCGGUGAUGUAAGACAGAUGUGAAAUCCCCGGGCUCAACCUGGGAACUGCAUUGUGACUGCAUCGCUGGAGUGCGGCAGAGGGGGAUGGAAUUCCGCGUGUAGCAGUGAAAUGCGUAGAUAUGCGGAGGAACACCGAUGGCGAAGGCAAUCCCCUGGGCCUGACACUGACGCUCAUGCACGAAAGCGUGGGGAGCAAACAGG